Molecule: ribosomal RNA, 449 nt
Filed under: uncultured prokaryote
Description: partial 16S ribosomal RNA
Source: RNAcentral
CCCUAUGGGGUGCACCAGGCUUGAAAUGGGGCGGCAGAACGGAAUGGAACAGGCGCUCCAUUUCUUCAUAAGGACCCACUUCCUGAGUGUCCAACCACUCCCGGACCGUCAUGGUGUUCGGCUCCUUCAGCCCCUUGCAACGGUCGCUUCCGACAAUCAUCUGAUACUCACCCUCCCUGGCAGCAAGGUCCAGGGGAAACAUGCGGCAGGCCCAGGGCCGGUUUUCAUAAACGCUGCAGCCGUCCCUGGUCACGAGCUUGCAACGGAGUGUCUCGGGAUUCAUAUCGAACUGAACUACCGGAAUAUUCGUAACACGUGCCAGAAAAUGACGCGUGUAUUUGGCGAGAAACUCCCCGGAACCGAUUUUCAGGGAGCGCCGAAGGCGAAGCACGUCGUACGGCGUCAGGUAGAUAUUCACGUCCCGGCAGCAUUGCGUGAAACAGGGGAGC